GUCGUGCUGGCAGACGUGGCUGUAUGCACCCGACUGCAAAUCGGGAGAAAGAAGUUCGAUUCUUCUGCACGACUC
Molecule: transfer RNA, 75 nt
Filed under: compost metagenome
Description: tRNA-Cys
Rfam family: tRNA
About the family: Transfer RNA (tRNA) molecules are approximately 80 nucleotides in length. Their secondary structure includes four short double-helical elements and three loops (D, anti-codon, and T loops).
Source: RNAcentral